UACGUAGGGGGCAAGCGUUGUCCGGAAUCAUUGGGCGUAAAGAGCGUGUAGGCGGCCCGAUAAGUCCGCCGUGAAAGUCCAGGGCUCAACCCUGGAAUGCCGGUGGAAACUGUCGGGCUGGAGUCCGGAAGAGGCGAGUGGAAUCCUGGUGUAGCGGUGAAAUGCGCAGAUAUCAGGAGGAACACCAAUGGCGAAGGCAGCACUCUGGGACGUGACUGACGCUGAGACGCGAAAGCGUGGGGAGCAAACAGG
This 252-nucleotide ribosomal RNA is filed under the name uncultured bacterium. RNAcentral describes it as "partial 16S ribosomal RNA". It matches the Rfam family "Bacterial small subunit ribosomal RNA", at positions 524 to 776 of the family's 1533-position model. The record is from RNAcentral.